This 506-nucleotide ribosomal RNA is filed under the name uncultured Sphingobacteriales bacterium. RNAcentral's name for it is "bacterial SSU rRNA". It matches the Rfam family "Bacterial small subunit ribosomal RNA", at positions 903 to 1382 of the family's 1533-position model. The record is from RNAcentral. Lineage: Bacteria; Pseudomonadati; Bacteroidota; Sphingobacteriia; Sphingobacteriales.
GCCUUGCCAGCCCGCUACAGAAACUCAAAGGAAGUUGACGGGGGCCCGCACAAGCGGUGGAGCAUGUGGUUUAAUUCGAUGAUACGCGAGGAACCUUACCUGGGCUCGAACGUAAGAUGACUGUAGGUGAAAGCUUACAUCUCUUCGGAGCAUUUUACGAGGUGCUGCAUGGUUGUCGUCAGCUCGUGCCGUGAGGUGUCGGGUUAAGUCCCAUAACGAGCGCAACCCCUACCUUUAGUUGCCAUCAGGUAAUGCUGGGGACUCUAAAGGAACUGCCUACGCAAGUAGUGAGGAAGGCGGGGAUGACGUCAAAUCAGCACGGCCCUUACGUCCAGGGCUACACACGUGCUACAAUGGCCGAUACAGAGGGCAGCUACCUGGUGACAGGAUGCAAAUCUCCAAAGUCGGUCUCAGUUCGGACCGGAGUCUGCAACCCGACUCCGUGAAGUUGGAUUCGCUAGUAAUCGCGCAUCAGCCAUGGCGCGGUGAAUACGUUCCCGGGCCUU